CUCACCUUCGGCCUUCUGGGGAGACCAGCUGCCGCAGAACCAGAACCUUCGGCGAUGGAAGGGCUGCCAGGUUUCCGAACUCGGCCCCGAAAGCUGAAGUCCCUUCCUCCUUGGUGGAGCAGGGCUUGUGGAAAGACCAUGUGAGGAUACAGUGAGAAGAGGUCAUCUACAAGCCAAGGAGAGAGCUCUCACCAGAAACCAACCCUGCUGGCAUCUUGAUCUUGGACUUCCAGCCUCCAGAACGGACUUCCCUGGUGGCGCAGUGGUCAAGAAUCUGCCUGCCAACGCAGGGGACACAGGUUCAAGUCCUGGUCUGGGAAGAUCCCACAUGCCAUGGAGCAACUAAGCCCAUGUGCCACAACUACUGAGCCUGAGAGCCACAACUACUGAGCCCGCAUGCCACAACUGCUGAAGCCUGCACGCCUAGAGCUGGUGCUCCACAACAAGAGAAGCCACUGCAAUGAGAAACCUGUGCUCCGCCACAAAGAAUAGCCCCUGCUCGCCGCAAAUAGAGAAAGCCCACGCGCAGCAGUGAAGACCCGACACAGCCAAAAAAAAAAUAAAUGCAAAUAAGUUGUUGAAUUCUUUAGAAAAAAUGUGCUGACAUUUUGAUAGGAAUUGCAUUGAAUUUAUAGAUUAAUUUGGAGAAAGUUGACUGCCUCACAAUGUUAAAUUUUCUCCUCCACAAAUAUGGUAUAUAUCCAUUUUCCAGGUUUUCCUUUAUGUUCUUUAAUAGUGUUAACUUUUCUCCAGCAUGGUCUUAUACAUUCAUUGUUCGGUUGAUUCCUAGAUUCUUUAUAGUUUUUCUUGCUAUCGUAAUUAAAGUCUCAUGUUUCUGUU
Balaenoptera acutorostrata (minke whale) is the source of this 840-nucleotide long non-coding RNA. RefSeq lists it as uncharacterized. The record is from RefSeq and is a predicted model, not a curated record. The transcript is spliced from 3 exons. NCBI's taxonomy places the organism in Eukaryota, Metazoa, Chordata, Mammalia, Artiodactyla, Balaenopteridae.